GAAAUCCUGUCAAAUAAGCUGCUAACCACAGCAUUUGAAGCGAGUCUUGAGUGUGUUACAGUAAUGUAAUGGGCUAAGCGUAGACAGCAAGGUUGCAGGGACAUCGACUCGACCC
Non-coding RNA from Clostridiales bacterium KLE1615, 115 nucleotides. The record is from Rfam. Lineage: Bacteria; Bacillati; Bacillota; Clostridia; Eubacteriales.